UGGGGAAUAUUAGUAAUGGGCGAAAGCCUGAACUAGCAACGCCGCGUGUGCGAAGAAGGCCUUCGGGUUGUAAAGCACUUUUUGAGAGGAUGAGGAAGGACGGUACUCUCAGAGUAAGUCUCGGCUAACUACGUGCCAGCAGCCGCGGUAACACGUAGGAGGCGAACGUUAUCCGGAUUUACUGGGCGUAAAGCGCGUGUAGGUGGUUUGGUAAGUAGGGCGUGAAAGCUCCUGGCUCAACUGGGAGAGGCCGUUCUAAACUGCCGAACUAGAGGAUGGUAGAGGGAGGUGGAAUUCCGGGUGUAGCGGUGGAAUGCGCAGAUAUCCGGAGGAACACCAGUGGCGAAAGCGGCCUCCUGGACCAUUCCUGACACUCAGACGCGAAAGCUAGGGUAGCAAACGGG
Molecule: ribosomal RNA, 404 nt
Filed under: uncultured bacterium
Lineage: Bacteria
Description: bacterial SSU rRNA
Rfam family: Bacterial small subunit ribosomal RNA
Source: RNAcentral